This 497-nucleotide ribosomal RNA is filed under the name uncultured bacterium. Its description in RNAcentral is "partial 16S ribosomal RNA". It matches the Rfam family "Bacterial small subunit ribosomal RNA", at positions 30 to 507 of the family's 1533-position model. The record is from RNAcentral.
AUUGAACGCUGGCGGCAUGCCUUACACAUGCAAGUCGAACGGCAGCACGGGCUUCUGCCUCCCGUGGCGUUUGCGGCGGGUGAGUAAUUCACACGUGCAUACCCUACCUAGAAGGAUAGCUCGACGAAAGCCAAACUAAUAUCGCACACGACAUUAUAUUGAAAGCGAGGGAUCAUUAGUGCACGCGCGUUUUGCGCUCCCGUAGGGAUGGAUCCACGCCGCAUUAGCUAGUUGGUAGGGUAACGGCUUACCAAGGCGACGAUGCGUAGACGACCUGAGAGGAUGAUCAGCCACACUGGAACUGAGACACGGCCCAGACUCCUACGGGAGGCAGCAGUGGGGAAUUUUGGACAAAGGGCGAAAGCCUGAUCGAGCAAUGCCGCGUGUGUGAUGAAGGCCUUCGGGUUGUAAAGCACUGUUGUCGGGAAAGAAAAAAAGUGUGAGAAUACAAGCGUGGGAUGACGGUACCCGAAGAAUAAGCACCGGCUAACUACGUG